Astatotilapia calliptera (eastern happy) is the source of this 2049-nucleotide long non-coding RNA. The record is from Ensembl. NCBI's taxonomy places the organism in Eukaryota, Metazoa, Chordata, Actinopteri, Cichliformes, Cichlidae.
CACAAUUAUCCUACAUUUUAGGAGGUAAUGUGUGUGUCAUUAUGUAUUAUCAUGUACAGAUGCCAUAGUCCUGAGCUUUAUGAAUGCUGUUAUUGUGUGUAUAUAUUUAUUUAUAUUUAGAUUUCUUCAUACAUUCUUAUAUAGUUCUAUAUUGUGUAUUGUGUAUUUUGUUGUACAGUUAUUUUUUUUCAACUUUAAUUUAUAUAUUUUAUCUUAUUCUUCCCAUUAAAUUUACCCUUCAUUCUAAUUUGUGUUGUACAGUUAUUUCAUUUUUAACCUUAAUUUAUAUUUUAUUCCUUCCUAGUUAAAUUUACCCUUUUUAAUUUUUCAUAUUUAUUUCCUAUCUUAUUCAUAGCCUUUUCCUUUUUUGUUUUCUUUAGGUCACGAGCAGUUGUCCAAGCAUUUCACUACAUAUCGUACUGUGUAUGACUGUGUACGUGACAAAUAAAAUUUGAAUUUGGUUCAGUGACCUGACACAAUUUAUACAGCUGGAAAAAAUAAAGUAUCCUCUCAAGGGGUUGGAGGAGAGAUUCUUUGCCGUUUGGGAUACAUUGCUAAAACAUUUAGAGAAAAUUAAAACCAUAUCCAUCUGAUACUCGCUUGGUAGCUACCCUAUACCCUUACUGUUGAGAUGGCGAUUAAUCUUGUGCAAACUAUUGCCUUUGAUGGCAAAUUUGAUGUACCUCGUUUAAAUUUAUUUUAUUUUUUCAAAUUUUUUCCUUUUCUCUCUGGAUUUGUGUCCAAUAUGCUCUUGGGGUGGGGUACACAUAUAAAAAGGAGCAUUGUGACUUCGUUUACGUGUGUGUGUGUGUGUGUGUGUGUGUGUGUGUGUGUGUGUGUGUGUACACACGUGUGUGUAUGUGUGUGUGUGUGUGUCUGUAUCACACAUGGAACUCUUCGAAGGCCUGGGACAGAAAGAAAAGGUACUAAAUGUACAGCUCUUUUGUGUUGUUUUUUUUGUUUUUGUUUUUUUUGUUGUAAAAUUUAUGCGACAUGUCCAGUAUGUACUGUGAGAGGAGCCAGAGGAAAGUGAUCAAGUGUUGCAUCAGGUGAUCUGACUUUUUAUAAGAAAAGAAAAAAGCAGCCAACAAGAGCUUAGCAUAUUAGGUAAUGCCUGUAACAGCUCAAGGUGACAGCCUAAUGAAGUCGGCUAGCAGAAUGCCAAGAGGGUGCAAAGCUUUUAUUUAUUUAAACUCCGAAGAUUUCAGCCUUUGUCAAAAAAUAAUGAUGUUUUAAGCUCCUUUAAAGAUUAUUCUGAGGCUGUUGGCAACAUUCUUGAAGAAUAGUUGUAUUUUUCACAAAUCUUGCUAUUAGAGCAUCAUCUUUUAUUGAAGCCUUGCUGUACUGCUAGCAUCAGUUCACUGCUCUCAGGUAAAUUAGUCAGAGUUGAUGAGUAGAUCCUCAUAGCAUGUUGACAUUAAGCCUGAAUCAUUUGUCCUAGAAAGCACUCUGAGACAACGUUAAAUGUCAAAGGUUUCAAAUAUACAGAGCAAACACAGGUAGUUUCUCUUUUCAGCAGACCCACAGUAUGUCGACAUUCCCACCCUCCUCACACUCGUGAGGAACUCCUGUCAGAUAUGUGAGUAUCACAGUGAGUGGGGGUUUAUGUCUGGGUCAGAGUGUGAUUCAUAGCUUUUUUUUUUUUACCAGCAAAUUGUUAACAGUGCAGAAAAGUUCGCAGUGAAAAUGUCAGGCUUUGCAGACGUGAACUGAGCAACGUGUUCAGUAAGAUAAAUGUCAUAUCUAAUGCAGUUAUAAAUCGAAGAUGUAUUCUGUAACAGCAAAAUAUUUACUUAAUAUAUGUACGAAUGUACUAUGUAAAGGUUUGGAUAAACACACUUAUUCAAGCGUUUUAGCAGUAAAAUGUGUCAGAAUUGGCACUGCAUAUUUGUGUCUUGUGUAUUUGACUUACAUGCACUUUUGUUUAGCAAAUUUAAAAAAAUGCCCUAAUACAGAGUACGUAAUUUAAAAUAUUAGUAACAAUUGUAUUUUAAAGGGAAGAUGCAGUUUAACAUAGUUCCUAUACAGAAUUAAGACUCAUGUGCUGCA